Nycticebus coucang (slow loris) is the source of this 107-nucleotide small nuclear RNA. The record is from RefSeq and is a predicted model, not a curated record. NCBI's taxonomy places the organism in Eukaryota, Metazoa, Chordata, Mammalia, Primates, Lorisidae.
GUGCUCACUCUGGCAGCACAUAUAUUAAAAUUGGGACGAUACUGAGAAGACUAGCAUGGCCCCUGAGCAAGGAUGACAUGUAAAUUCAUGAAGUGCUCCAUAUUUUU